Molecule: ribosomal RNA, 301 nt
Filed under: uncultured bacterium
Lineage: Bacteria
Description: partial 16S ribosomal RNA
Rfam family: Bacterial small subunit ribosomal RNA
Source: RNAcentral
CAGCCGCCGCGGGAAUACGAAGGGGGCUAGCGUUGUUCGGAUUUACUGGGCGUAAAGCGCACGUAGGCGGAUCGAUCAGUCAGGGGUGAAAUCCCAGAGCUCAACUCUGGAACUGCCUUUGAUACUGUCGAUCUGGAGUAUGGAAGAGGUGAGUGGAAUUCCGAGUGUAGAGGUGAAAUUCGUAGAUAUUCGGAGGAACACCAGUGGCGAAGGCGGCUCACUGGUCCAUUACUGACGCUGAGGUGCGAAAGCGUGGGGAGCAAACAGGAUUAGAUACCCCUGUAGUCCCUGUCUCUUAUAC